CUUCUCGACACCCCGUUCGUUUUAUCGGGUGUUUACGAGCACAGAGUCCAAAAUCAUUCGAAAUCAUGUCUCUGUAACACCCUCGUCCGUUACACCUCAUCUCUUCGUUGUCCGUGUCCAUCCAAGUCGUCUCUUCUCUUCUCCACUUGUAUCUGCAGCUGUUGAUUCCACAGAUCCCUCUCCUCCUGUACCCGCCAACUCCCGACUGCUUACAGCCGUUUCCAUGGUAACUGCUCCGCCAUUGGCUGCUGAUGCGGCCUUCGGGGCUUAUAAGGUGCAGCGCUGACUCCUGCUUGCCUGUAUGUCUGCCUCCGUGGGUGUCCGGCUGUUGAUCUGCCGGGCAUUUUUGUGUGCCCUCGUGUACCUCGUCCGCCUGUUUGUACAAGCCUGUCUCAGUGAUCGCGGUUGUUCUCAUUUCCCCUUUUGUCGUUGUUGUUGUUGCCCCGUUGUUGACAUGUGCAGAGUCCGCCUUGAAUCCCACAAGUCGUGAUCGGCUUUGCGGUUUCUUCAGGAGUUUCUCACAGUGAGAGAAACUUGUUCAGAACGAACAUUAUUCCGUGUCGACGUCGUGCGGACUUGAAAACGUGAUGGUGGAAGAAUGUGGUGAAAGGAACAUUACACAUGGAUACCGAAUUUCCUCUGAGAGCAGAUCAAAAGGCGUCCUUGGCGAGCACUUCAAAUGCCUGGCCCUUGUUCAAGAGGCUGGGUGAGGACCGACGAGUGGACCGAGCAGCCUCGGAGCAGGAGCACGGAAUCUGUUUCGACUUUUCGUGGAUUUCAGGGCAAUGUGGGAUUUCCUUCCCACCAAAGGACGGUGCUCGGUGCUCGGUGCUCGGUGCUCGGUGAAGGUUGCGAUGCGGGAAGAAGACAACACGGCCAUCACAGCGGCACGGGAGCGUUCAAACGUCGGGAGCAAUUUCUCAUCGAACUAAGGCGUGUGCAGCAGCGCACUUGAGCAGUUUGUGCAAAGUGGAGACUGGGAUGGCAGAACCGUGGUGGGCCAUGACGGAAUCCUGAAGCCCUGGGUUUGAAUUGAAAGUCCACAAGAACCUGGCAGGUAGGGUACAUAAUGGCGGUUUCUUCACGUGAAUCGUGACCUUUUGAGUGAUGGGUCGUUCGUGUCAUUUUUCGGAAGAAUUCACUUCUAGGACUU
Molecule: long non-coding RNA, 1153 nt
Filed under: Eptatretus burgeri (inshore hagfish)
Lineage: Eukaryota; Metazoa; Chordata; Myxini; Myxiniformes; Myxinidae
Description: lncRNA (ENSEBUG00000017349.1)
Source: RNAcentral